GACGAACGCUGGCGGCGUGCCUAAUACAUGCAAGUUGAGCGCUGAAGGUUGGUACUUGUACCAACUGGUUGAGCAGCGCACGGGUGAGUAACGCGUGGGGAAUCUGCCUUUGAGCGGGGGACAACAUUUGGAAACGAAUGCUAAUACCGCAUAAAAACUUUAAACACAAGUUUUAAGUUUGAAAGAUGCAAUUGCAUCACUCAAAGAUGAUCCCGCGUUGUAUUAGCUAGUUGGUGAGGUAAAGGCUCACCAAGGCGAUGAUACAUAGCCGACCUGAGAGGGUGAUCGGCCACAUUGGGACUGAGACACGGCCCAAACUCCUACGGGAGGCAGCAGUAGGGAAUCUUCGGCAAUGGACGAAAGUCUGACCGAGCAACGCCGCGGGAGUGAAGAAGGGUUUCGGAUCGUAAAACUCUGUUGGUAGAGAAGAACGUUGGUGAGAGUGGAAAGCUCAUCAAGUGACGGUAACUACACAGAAAGGGACGGCUAACUACGUG
Molecule: ribosomal RNA, 497 nt
Filed under: uncultured bacterium
Lineage: Bacteria
Description: partial 16S ribosomal RNA
Rfam family: Bacterial small subunit ribosomal RNA
Source: RNAcentral